This 211-nucleotide ribosomal RNA is filed under the name Blautia sp. TF12-31AT. Its description in RNAcentral is "partial 16S ribosomal RNA". It matches the Rfam family "Bacterial small subunit ribosomal RNA", at positions 1332 to 1533 of the family's 1533-position model. Lineage: Bacteria; Bacillati; Bacillota; Clostridia; Lachnospirales; Lachnospiraceae. The record is from RNAcentral.
UCGCUAGUAAUCGCGAAUCAGAAUGUCGCGGUGAAUACGUUCCCGGGUCUUGUACACACCGCCCGUCACACCAUGGGAGUUGGUAACGCCCGAAGUCAGUGACCCAACCUUUUAGGAGGGAGCUGCCGAAGGCGGGACUGAUAACUGGGGUGAAGUCGUAACAAGGUAGCCGUAUCGGAAGGUGCGGCUGGAUCACCUCCUUUCUAAGGAA